Molecule: non-coding RNA, 183 nt
Filed under: Klebsiella pneumoniae
Lineage: Bacteria; Pseudomonadati; Pseudomonadota; Gammaproteobacteria; Enterobacterales; Enterobacteriaceae
Description: 6S RNA
Rfam family: 6S / SsrS RNA
About the family: E. coli 6S RNA was the first non coding RNA to be sequenced, but its function was unknown until recently. It consists of 184 nucleotides that fold into an extended hairpin structure with a large single-stranded internal bulge.
Source: RNAcentral
AUUUCUCUGAGAUGUUUGCAAGCGGGCCAGUCCCCUGAGCCGAUAUUUCAUACCACAAGAAUGUGGCGCUCCACGGUUGGUGAGCAUGCUCGGUUCGUCCGAGAAGCCUUAAAACCGUGACGACAUAUUCACCUUGAACCAAGGGUUCAAGGUUACAGCCUGCGGCGGCAUCUCGGAGAUUCC